UCCACCUACCAUGACUUCCAGCAGGCUAGC
Molecule: non-coding RNA, 30 nt
Filed under: Homo sapiens (human)
Lineage: Eukaryota; Metazoa; Chordata; Mammalia; Primates; Hominidae
Source: RNAcentral